GCCUGCUGUGCUUGUCCUGCUGUUUGCUGGGCAUUACAAGGAACCAAGACAACACGGGAUCUGGAGACAGAAAUUUCCUCCUCUUUUAGCUAGAGUGCUUCACCACUAUUACUUCUCUCCUGCAAACAGCUGAACCAUGGGACAGAAAUUGCUGAAGCCACCUAACACAGAGAUGUUACAGGAGCCUCAAACUGAUGUUGAACAGUAGGCAAAUUUGUUCUGUACUGUCUCACCCAGGACUGUCAGUUAAGAAGAAAUGUCAAGGGACAGGCUGUUAAAAAUAGUGUGAUCUGUAGUACCUACUGAAGGUAGGUAUAUGAACAUCUUUAGUAGAACUUGAACUUUUGCUCCAAACUUACAUCAAACUCCU
RNAcentral lists this long non-coding RNA (370 nucleotides) under Zonotrichia albicollis (white-throated sparrow). Its description in RNAcentral is "lncRNA (ENSZALG00000014604.1)". Lineage: Eukaryota; Metazoa; Chordata; Aves; Passeriformes; Passerellidae. The record is from RNAcentral.